Phrynosoma platyrhinos (Desert horned lizard) is the source of this 72-nucleotide non-coding RNA. The record is from the annotation of a GenBank genome assembly. Lineage: Eukaryota; Metazoa; Chordata; Lepidosauria; Squamata; Phrynosomatidae.
GGUAUCAGAGCCUAGUGGUUUGAGCGUUGGACUCUGACUCUGAAGACCAAGGUUCCAUUCCCAUUGAAACCC